This 2549-nucleotide long non-coding RNA is filed under the name Salmo trutta (river trout). Its description in RNAcentral is "lncRNA (ENSSTUG00000044972.1)". The record is from RNAcentral. Lineage: Eukaryota; Metazoa; Chordata; Actinopteri; Salmoniformes; Salmonidae.
ACUACCUGUUUGGGGUACAGCCUGACGAGGAGGUGGUUAACCCCUGGGAGUGUAAGGACAAGUUCCAGGUGGACUGGUGUCCAGAGACCAACGCUGAGCUGGAGGCUAUGGUCAAGGCGGAGGAGAUCCACUGCCUGAUGGAGGGCAACAAGAACAUGCCUGCCAUCUGGGUCAUCUCAGACGGACGUGAGCCACGGCCCCCACGCACGGGCCCCAGGGUCGCCUUCGGCAGGAUGAGCUAGCUACAAAGGGGCAGACACACAGACUCAGACUGCUAGGGACAAGGCAGGGUACAGCAACGUGGCAGAUGCACUGUAAACUGUAAGCCAAAAGAGAUAUACUGUGUUGUAAUCAUGUACUCAUUACUGCAUUACACAAUAAUCUCCACAUGCUGGCAGCAUGCCAAGAGCUUCAUAAGUGACCAGUCCUUGUUGUAUUGUUAGUGUUUAGACUAGGCCCUAGACCUCCUUUUGACCAUAUGAAGAGGAAAUGCUUUCAGGACUUUCAACUGUGAGCUAUGUUGUUGAACACGUUUAUUCCGUAUGGUUUCCAAUUUUAAACCAUUUCUCUCACAAAUACUCUUGUUUUCUAUUUAUUGCACAUUUAUUUUAUACAAUAUUACACAUUUGCAUGCUAUCCAGUUAACACAUGGCAUGAUCGUUACUGAAAGCUGGUUUCAGGAACAAAUGAAAAGUCAUGAGUUUGGAGUGGACACACCUUUCAGGCAAUAAAAUCUGCUGGUAUCAUUGGCAACAUGGUGCAAUCUGGUUGCUCUCUGUGCUGUAUACUGCACUUUGACCUCACAGGACGUUACCAGUCCAGAAGGAGUAUCGUGACAGUGAACAGGUUCUACACAACACCAACCUCAGAGGCCUCCUGGGAUAAACAAGGAUUCAUAAUGUCUCUCCACAAAACUUUCCAGGUCUGCUUAUUACUGGCUGUUUGUGUUAACCAGGCCCAGAGUGGUUUGCCAAACGGAGGCUUACGGCUCACUACAUCCAAGGGUGGGACCCUGCAGCCUUGGCUUGUUGGUCUGGCUGCUGUAGUGGGAUUCCUCUUCAUCGUCUUCGUCAUCCUUAUUGUACAAAGGCUUUUCUUCAAGAAGGAAAAAGAGGAAGAUGGUGGUUGGUAUGAGAACACAGCUGUAGGAAUGGAAGCUGGAGAGGCCAGUGAGGUUAAACAAACCAGCCUAUAGAGAGACCAGCGAACAAACCAUCCAGGGAGGGGAAACGCUCAGACACCAGUUUCCACGCCAUAUUGGGUUUCUUACUUCUCCUUCUCCUGCACAUGUAUUUCUUUCAACUCUAUGAUUGGCAUAUCCUAUGUUUGUGCAAUUAAACAAAUUAAGAAAAUAUAGAUAUUGUCCUCAAUUUUGCCUGUUUACUGUGCAAACAAGAUCAUUCUGAACAGGAUCUGUUUUAUUGUUGGCAAAACUGUUUGUUGUGCAGUCACAGUGUUGGCUGUAUUAUACUGUAAUGAAAGACAUGUUGAUGGUAACAAUAAUGAUUUUGUCUCAUUUAGUAACCAAUGCUUUUACAGUGUUAUUGUAACAGAAACUAGUGAUUUUACUUAUACUACCACUAGAUGGAACUGGAUUCUCUUUUUCCAUUUAGAACUCACUAGACCUACAGUACUACACAAAUUGUUUAGGGGAGAGUGGAGUAAGUUGAGCCAUAGGGGUAAAUUGAGCCACCCUUGUUUCUAGGAAACCAUACACAAUUAAUCAUUUGACCAAAUAUUUAGGAAGAGGUCAUCAUGUCACGGAGUCUGUGAAGGAAGAAACAAGAGUGGUAAGCAAGUCAGGUCCAACAAAACUGAUUUUCACCAAGUCAAAUGAAUUUAUUGUGUUAGAGGUUUCAUGAUGUAUCUAAACCAAAGCAGAUAAUUUUAAGAUUGUUCUAUUUCAGUCGGGGUCUCUAUAAGCUUAACUGUGAGAUCCUAAAUCUAGCAUGAAAGUGCAUCCUUGGAGCUGUGUGGGCUAAUAUAGUCAAAAUGUUUGCCAUGGGGUAAGUUGAGCCAAUGGAUGAGCCAAUGGAUGAGCCAAUGGAUGAGCCAAUGGAUGAGCCAAUGGAUGAGCCAAUGGAUGAGCCAAUGGACGAGCCAAUGGCAAGUUUAAUAAAUUCCCAGGCAUUAUCGCUGGGAUAUGAGGUAACAACAUGCCUAUGUUAAAAAAAAGAAGUUUUUUUAAGUACAAACUUUAAAACAAGCGAUUGUGUUGAAUUGUAUUUGGGAAAUAAAGAUAGACAUGGUUUUAAAAAGGUAGUGGAAAUAUUUCAUUCAGUACAGAAAAAUGUAGGCGGCUUAAUUUUCCUGGGCUAAGUUGUGCCAAGAGACCUCUUUUUUUGGACAAGCUAUGUUUUCAAAAUUGUAAUGUUUACAUGAAUUCUGAUUGUUUUUAGGGAUAAACAACAUCCUGAAAUAUAUGUAGAUAUCUUUGUUAGAAAUAAUACUAUAUUUCCUUUGACAGUGUCAUGCUGAAUGUAAAAAAUGGCUCAGUUUACCCCACUCUCCCCUAGUCAAUUUUAAAUUGAGAGUAAAGAAAGUGUAAA